CUCUUCACCCUCAGCUACCCCUUUGGACUUUCCUACAGGAGAAUCGUAUCUAAACAGUGCAGAGUGGAGUGUGUAUCUCUUGACAGUGAGCAAAAAGGUUCAUUUGGAGAGACCACCUGCCACAUCAGCAAACCCAUCCUCAAAGGAAACUCUCAGGCUGUGUUACAUAUUACAUACAGCAUCAGUAAAGAACACACCUUCGAUCAAAAUGUCAAAUUUACUGCUAGAAUCAACAGGUAUGACACAUGAAUAUCACCUNUGACAAUGGAUGUUACGUUUCCACUUGAUGGUUAAAGUUAAAUCUGGGAUUCUAAAGCAAAACCAGUUGAAAUUUGAUGUUUAAUUUAGUCAGGUAAUAUUUUGUUUGACAUGAAAUCUAAUUUAACAUUUUUUAGUUGUAUUAAUUGUAUUACACUGUAGUUAGUAAUUGGCCAAGCUAAAUAUUCUUCGGACUGAUAAAUCUCAUUAGACAACUUGUUUUUUUAUAUUUUAUUGUAUGGUUUACCAAAUAAAUGCAGGCUUGAGGAAAGUGUUUUCA
This is a long non-coding RNA of Cyprinus carpio (common carp), 538 nucleotides long. The record is from Ensembl. Lineage: Eukaryota; Metazoa; Chordata; Actinopteri; Cypriniformes; Cyprinidae.